CCGGCUUUUUACAAGGUAACAAGGUCUGCUCAAUGAUCAAGCACAAGACCUUCAGCGAUUUUCCCAGAACCAUUGCGUCUUCAGCAGCAGUCCAGAGGAAUAUAAAGCUCACAAAGAAACACAGCACCACUUUGGUUUCAUAUGUUUAUUGCAAGAGAUUAAUUCAAUCAGGAUUGAUGCUAGACUGUCAGCUGGGCAACUGCUUCACCACCAUUUCAGUCUUCAAAGUGUUGGUCACAAAGUCUUAAAAGGGAAUGCUUUGGCUGCUGUUCAGUUUCUUCAAGACAAGGAAGUAAGAAUGGGAUGCAAGUAUUUACAGCGGUCAGAAGAUGGCAAACCACCACCAGCAGCUGCCUGGAGAGGCUCCAUUCCUCCAGAAUGCCAGAGUGAACAGAAGCACUUCCACCAAACACCUACAGCCUGGAGCAAAGAUGCUGUUGCAAACUCAAGUGGCUGUAUGAGGGCAGGUGUGCCAGAGGGAGGCUGUGCUUAUCAAAAUUUUGGAAAAAUACUAUAUCAAAUAAGUCAAAAUUGAAAGUUAAAGAUCAGUUAAAAACUGAACAUUGCUCAGCGUGGUAGUCCUGUUUUACAUUUUUUUUUUGGUGUUUUUUUUUUAGUCCCAAGGCUAUGACAGUUUCAUUCAACCUCUUCCUCCUAUCUAACAUUCCUCAAAGUUGACAUUUUCUUGUUUCUUUUUAACAGUUCAAAAGUCCUUCAUUUCUAAUUCCCAGUUAAAACCCUAUUUGCCACUUCAGUCUUGCAAUUACAAAUAAAUAUAAACAUACUUUACAAAUAGCAUAUGUAGGAUCUUACAAAUAGUAGGAUCUUAUGCUUACCAGUGUUUUACUGGGAAACAACAGCACAGAUUUUAUUACCUUAAUUUGUCAUGUUUCCAAAUGGGCAAAACAAAGCAACAAAAUAAGCAAGACAAAAUCACUGGGAAAAUGGCAAAUAAUCAGAUGCUUCUAAGGUAACAAGACUUGAGUCCACAUUUAUUCACCUGAACUCAUCCCAAGCAUCAAAGCACAGGAGGCUUAAUAAAACAUGAAGGUGAGAAAAUCUUCAUUAGAAUCUGAAGCCUGCUGUUACAUUUCAGAGAACAGCAAGGAAAAAGGUAUGAUAUUGCAUAUGAAAGUUUUAUAUAUACUAAAUGGAUCUGAAUUCCCAGAGGAGAAGUUUAUAUCGAAAUUCAGGCUAUAAGGAAAUGGCACCAGAUACAAACUCAAAAGCAAAAGACACCCUACCUGAUGCAGCUUCCCAUGACAGCAAAAAUGUCUGAAAGUCUGCAGUGAAA
This is a long non-coding RNA of Pseudopodoces humilis (Tibetan ground-tit), 1294 nucleotides long. RefSeq lists it as uncharacterized. The record is from RefSeq and is a predicted model, not a curated record. NCBI's taxonomy places the organism in Eukaryota, Metazoa, Chordata, Aves, Passeriformes, Paridae.